This 497-nucleotide ribosomal RNA is filed under the name uncultured bacterium. RNAcentral's name for it is "partial 16S ribosomal RNA". It matches the Rfam family "Bacterial small subunit ribosomal RNA", at positions 28 to 507 of the family's 1533-position model. The record is from RNAcentral.
GAUGAACGCUGGCGGCGUGCCUAAUACAUGCAAGUCGAGCGAACAGACGAGGAGCUUGCUCCUCUGACGUUAGCGGCGGACGGGUGAGUAACACGUGGAUAACCUACCUAUAAGACUGGGAUAACUGCGGGAAACCGGAGCUAAUACCGGAUAAUAUAUUGAACCGCAUGGUUCAAUAGUGAAAGACGGUUUUGCUGUCACUUAUAGAUGGAUCCGCGCCGCAUUAGCUAGUUGGUAAGGUAACGGCUUACCAAGGCAACGAUGCGUAGCCGACCUGAGAGGGUGUUCGGCCACACUGGAACUGAGACACGGUCCAGACUCCUACGGGAGGCAGCAGUAGGGAAUCUUCCGAAAUGGGCGAAAGCCUGACGGAGCAACGCAGCGUGAGUGAUGAAGGUCUUCGGAUCGUAAAACUCUGUUAUUAGGGAAGAACAAAUGUGUAAGUAACUAUGCACGUCUUGACGGUACCUAAUCAGAAAGCCACGGCUAACUACGUG